CAAGGGCCUAUCCCCUGCUCAGGGAGGCUGUUCUUCCAUGACAGAUGUCUGCCUGUGGGCCGACUAAUCAUGAAGAGGCCCAUCCAGAGUCACCUGAACCUCGAGAGCCAAUAAAAGAAAAGAAGCGGUUUUGGCGGGAAGGGUUGAGGUCACGCUGCUUGCCCAUUUCUGCCAAGGUCUUUCUCUCUACAUUUUACAACCAUUUUCUGCUUUCAUGGCCACUUCUCCCAUCAGUGCAUCAGGGACAGAACUUGUGUCAUGAAGCAUGACUCACAUCGAGAUAUUUACGACUAAAACUUGGCUACUGCAGGCAACCCUGUGUAUGGGUCUCGACUAAAGGGAAUAAAUAACUGGUACUUGUUGGGUU
Pantherophis guttatus is the source of this 367-nucleotide non-coding RNA. The record is from RefSeq and is a predicted model, not a curated record. Lineage: Eukaryota; Metazoa; Chordata; Lepidosauria; Squamata; Colubridae.